UCUGCUGAGGAGUGAAGUUCUAAAUUCUAAGAAGUGAUUUUUCAAGCCGUCAGCAGAGUUUCUUCGAACUGCUUUUUAUCUGAAAGUUUGCAAAACACAUCGAAAAAUUUUGAUGGCAAUUUACAAAUAGUGUGAAUCUGAAGGUGGAAAUCAAAAAUAAUGCAAUCAAGGCACAUAAUUGGACGUAACUAGUUUGGAUUUAUGUAAAAUAGCUCAAAUUCCGAAUAUUAAAGAAAAAUUGGCUGCGUACUGGGUGAUGAUUCAACCGGCGUCGGAGAAAAAGUUUCAUGAACAGCACAUAUCUACUGAUUCUCGCCGAAGUAGUGCAUAUCUUGUUGAGUAAUUGACUUCAGUGUACGCCCAUGGACCGUAUAACUCUUUGCGAGUUGAUUUUUGUUUCAACAAUUUUCAAUUGCCGUGUCCACAUCAAUUUUUCUUACGAUCAUCAGUUUUCUGAUUUUUCGGGGGGCCUGCUUUGGGCGGCCAUGGCACCUCCAGAUUUAAGGCCUGCUGCCUUUUUACAACAUAAUUCUUUAUUGCAGACACUAUGGCUUUAGAAACAGUAAUUCUUUCAUCCCCGAAUUGAUUUGCUACUUUUUUAUAUGCCAUUAUAGCCUGGCAAACUGCUUCCACGCCAUGUAACACUUUGGGGUAAAUUUUAGGAUCCACUUUUGGAAUCUCGAAAUGGAGCAAGCAGGAAUUGGUUCAACUUGAACUAAGCUUUCCAAAGCACACGCAAUAUUUUAUUUAGCGCUGUUGUUUCAAAAACUACGAGAAAUUUGCGACUCGGACUAUAAAAUGGAAAUACCCUGUAUUAGAGAACUCUCAGCAGCCGAACACAAAGUUAACCAUACACACACAUAAUAAUCGUCAAACCAAGUAUCAAACUCGUCAAUUUUAAUUUUCAUAUUUUUUUAAAUGAAGACUGGAAACGGAUAUUUGGCCCUCAUCCUGGCCACUUUGGUCCUGCUGACAAGCGCCCCAAGUCAGGUUGAGGGCGGUCCCGUCUCGGCCUCCCUUUGCAUUGCGGGAUGUAACGUGGCGCUCGGUGGGUGUGCCACGUGCGGCGUGGCUGCCGCCACCGUGACGGGAGGCGCCGCUGCACCAGCCGCUGGUUGGGCGUGCACGGUAGCGUACACCGCGUGCGUUGGGGCUUGUACUGCAUCCACCGUUUUGCCCACGCCGUAAAAAAUGGCAGCUCUAAUUAUGAAUCGAAUUGGAAGAGAAAUCCAUCCGUGUCUUCAAUUCCAUCGUCAUUGUUAUGGAAACAAGUCGACUAGUGAGGAUCAGAAUUUCGAAUUACAUAUUUAUUAAUCAAAUUUUAUAUUACUUACAAAAUUCCAAAGUAGCAACAUGCAGUUUAUGCAACGAAUCGUUUACAUAGAUGUGUUAAUAAAUAAAUAAAACCUAGAAAAUCA
This is a long non-coding RNA of Folsomia candida, 1418 nucleotides long. RefSeq lists it as uncharacterized. The record is from RefSeq and is a predicted model, not a curated record. The transcript is spliced from 3 exons. Lineage: Eukaryota; Metazoa; Arthropoda; Collembola; Entomobryomorpha; Isotomidae.